AAGGUGUUAAGUUAAUUAGACUGCGGCACUUCAAAUGCUGAAGUGGGCAGGAAGCCCACGCCUUG
Molecule: transfer RNA, 65 nt
Filed under: Bactronophorus thoracites
Lineage: Eukaryota; Metazoa; Mollusca; Bivalvia; Myida; Teredinidae
Description: tRNA-Trp
Source: RNAcentral